Molecule: long non-coding RNA, 756 nt
Organism: Eriocheir sinensis (Chinese mitten crab)
Lineage: Eukaryota; Metazoa; Arthropoda; Malacostraca; Decapoda; Varunidae
Exons: 3
Source: RefSeq, a predicted model, not a curated record
UGGGAGGAGGAGGAGAAGGAGGAGGAGGAGGUGAAGGAGGCUGCUGUCGACUCAACGUGUUUCACGACGCCUCACACGACUGUCCUGCAACACGGCAGCUCAUCUCUGCAGACAAGGGAGGUGGUCACGGCGGGCGUCAGUGCGUCCGGGGAAGGAGAUGACCGGCACCUUAUCGAGCCCCAGUUGGCCCAGGUGGUAGGUGAGCUGCGCCUCCACUGCGGGGACGCGGGACAGAAGCGUGAAGAUACAAGCUACAAGAUACAAGAUACAAGAUAAAAGCCUUCCCGAACUCUUCAGGCCUCGCGGGAUAACGAGAUAAAAGUGACGAGAAUAAUUAAAAUGCAACGUAACGCCUCGACCCUGCUUAUACGUUGUCUGUUUCCAGGAGGCGACGAGAAGCGAUGACGAAGAGGGACGUGUACAGCGAAGGAUACAACGAUUACGAAGAGGAUUCCAGAGUUUUUCUUUGUCUUUUUUAUAUUACCGGGAUCGUCUUUCUUUUUGUAUAACUAUUUCUCUUUGUUUAUGUCUUUCUUUUACUUUAUUUCUUAACAUUACUCUUAGGUAUUCACAGCGAGGGAAGUUCAAUUAUUGGGGUAAAAAAAUAAAGUACAAUAUCUAACUCUGAUUCCCCAUAACCCCAAUACCCGCUGUCUGACCUUGAUGUAUGUAAUGACCCCUCACAACCUUAACUUUACUUUCAGAGACGUUCACAGCGAGGGACAUUCAAUUUCUGGAGUAAAAGAGAAUAAUAAA